CAGGUGCUGCAUGGCUGUCGUCAGCUCGUGUUGUGAAAUGUUGGGUUAAGUCCCGCAACGAGCGCAACCCUUAUCCUUUGUUGCCAGCGGUCCGGCCGGGAACUCAAAGGAGACUGCCAGUGAUAAACUGGAGGAAGGUGGGGAUGACGUCAAGUCAUCAUGGCCCUUACGACCAGGGCUACACACGUGCUACAAUGGCGCAUACAAAGAGA
RNAcentral lists this ribosomal RNA (212 nucleotides) under Escherichia coli. RNAcentral describes it as "partial 16S ribosomal RNA". It matches the Rfam family "Bacterial small subunit ribosomal RNA", at positions 1035 to 1247 of the family's 1533-position model. The record is from RNAcentral. Lineage: Bacteria; Pseudomonadati; Pseudomonadota; Gammaproteobacteria; Enterobacterales; Enterobacteriaceae.